RNAcentral lists this transfer RNA (76 nucleotides) under Pterocladiophila hemisphaerica. RNAcentral describes it as "tRNA-Arg". The stretch from base 8 to 68 matches the Rfam family "tRNA", at positions 8 to 63 of the family's 71-position model. From Rfam's summary of the family: Transfer RNA (tRNA) molecules are approximately 80 nucleotides in length. The record is from RNAcentral. Lineage: Eukaryota; Rhodophyta; Florideophyceae; Gracilariales; Pterocladiophilaceae.
GCGUUUUUAGUUUAAUGGAUAAAACAGUAACUUUCUAAGUUAUAUUUAUAUGUAGGUUCAAAUCCUACUUUCUUCA